Molecule: ribosomal RNA, 359 nt
Filed under: uncultured Pelotomaculum sp.
Lineage: Bacteria; Bacillati; Bacillota; Clostridia; Eubacteriales; Desulfotomaculaceae
Description: bacterial SSU rRNA
Rfam family: Bacterial small subunit ribosomal RNA
Source: RNAcentral
UGGACAGGGAGACAGGUGGUGCAUGGUUGUCGUCAGCUCGUGUCGUGAGAUGUUGGGUUAAGUCCCGCAACGAGCGCAACCCCUACGUUUAGUUGCUAACGCGUGAAGGCGAGCACUCUAGACGAACUGCCGUUGACAAAACGGAGGAAGGUGGGGAUGACGUCAAUCAUCAUGCCCCUUAUGUUCUGGGCUACACACGUGCUACAAUGGCCGGUACAGACGGACGCAAAGCCGCGAGGUGGAGCAAAUCCUAAAAAGCCGGUCUCAGUUCGGAUUGCAGGCUGCAAUUCGCCUGCAUGAAGUCGGAAUCGCUAGUAAUCGCAGGUCAGCAUACUGCGGUGAAUACGUUCCCGGGCCUU